Molecule: ribosomal RNA, 735 nt
Filed under: uncultured Synechococcus sp.
Lineage: Bacteria; Bacillati; Cyanobacteriota; Cyanophyceae; Synechococcales; Synechococcaceae
Description: bacterial SSU rRNA
Rfam family: Bacterial small subunit ribosomal RNA
Source: RNAcentral
GAUACCCCUGUAGUCCUGGCCGUAAACGAUGAACACUAGGUGUCGGGGGAAUCGACCCCCUCGGUGUCGUAGCCAACGCGUUAAGUGUUCCGCCUGGGGAGUACGCACGCAAGUGUGAAACUCAAAGGAAUUGACGGGGGCCCGCACAAGCGGUGGAGUAUGUGGUUUAAUUCGAUGCAACGCGAAGAACCUUACCAGGGUUUGACAUCCUGCGAAUCCCUUGGAAACUUGGGAGUGCCUUCGGGAGCGCAGUGACAGGUGGUGCAUGGCUGUCGUCAGCUCGUGUCGUGAGAUGUUGGGUUAAGUCCCGCAACGAGCGCAACCCACGUCUUUAGUUGCCAGCAUUGAGUUGGGCACUCUAGAGAGACUGCCGGUGAUAAACCGGAGGAAGGUGUGGAUGACGUCAAGUCAUCAUGCCCCUUACAUCCUGGGCUACACACGUACUACAAUGCUACGGACAAAGGGCAGCAAACUCGCGAGAGCUAGCCAAUCCCAUAAACCGUGGCUCAGUUCAGAUCGUAGGCUGCAACUCGCCUACGUGAAGGAGGAAUCGCUAGUAAUCGCAGGUCAGCAUACUGCGGUGAAUACGUUCCCGGGCCUUGUACACACCGCCCGUCACACCAUGGAAGUUGGCCACGCCCGAAGUCGUUACUCCAACCCUUGUGGAGGAGGAUGCCGAAGGUGGGGCUGAUGACUGGGGUGAAGUCGUAACAAGGUAGCCGUACCGGAAGGUGC